This is a non-coding RNA of Acanthosepion pharaonis, 109 nucleotides long. Lineage: Eukaryota; Metazoa; Mollusca; Cephalopoda; Sepiida; Sepiidae. The record is from the annotation of a GenBank genome assembly.
GCCACAUCACGUUUAAACACCGCUUCCCGUAAGAUCACCAAAGUUAAGCAACGUCGAGCCUGGUCAGUACCUAAAUGGGUAACCGCUGGGGAAUACUCGGUGCUGUAAG